AGCGAACGCUGGCGGCAGGCUUAACACAUGCAAGUCGAACGGUCCUUCGGGAUAGUGGCGGACGGGGGAGUAACACGUGGGAACGUACCCUUAGGUUCGGAACAACACAGGGAAACUUGCGCUAAUACCGGAUAAGCCCUUCGGGGGAAAGAUUUAUCGCCUUUGGAGCGGCCCGCGUCUGAUUAGCUUGUUGGUGAGGUAAUGGCUCACCAAGGCUACGAUCAGUAGCUGGUCUGAGAGGAUGGCCAGCCACACUGGGACUGAGACACGGCCCAGACUCCUACGGGAGGCAGCAGUGGGGAAUCUUGCGCAAUGGGCGAAAGCCUGACGCAGCCAUGCCGCGUGGAUGAUGAAGGUCUUAGGAUUGUAAAAUCCUUUCACCGGGGACGAUAAUGACGGUACCCGGAGAAGAAGCCCCGGCUAACUUCGUGCCAGCCGCCGCAGUAA
RNAcentral lists this ribosomal RNA (447 nucleotides) under uncultured bacterium. RNAcentral describes it as "partial 16S ribosomal RNA". It matches the Rfam family "Bacterial small subunit ribosomal RNA", at positions 29 to 523 of the family's 1533-position model. The record is from RNAcentral.